RNAcentral lists this ribosomal RNA (429 nucleotides) under Chloroflexota bacterium. RNAcentral describes it as "Chloroflexi bacterium partial 16S ribosomal RNA". It matches the Rfam family "Bacterial small subunit ribosomal RNA", at positions 355 to 776 of the family's 1533-position model. Lineage: Bacteria; Bacillati; Chloroflexota. The record is from RNAcentral.
UGGGGAAUAUUGCACAAUGGGCGCAAGCCUGAUGCAGCCAUGCCGCGUGUAUGAAGAAGGCCUUCGGGUUGUAAAGUACUUUCAGCGGGGAGGAAGGGAGUAAAGUUAAUACCUUUGCUCAUUGACGUUACCCGCAGAAGAAGCACCGGCUAACUCCGUGCCAGCAGCCGCGGUAAUACGGAGGGUGCAAGCGUUAAUCGGAAUUACUGGGCGUAAAGCGCACGCAGGCGGUUUGUUAAGUCAGAUGUGAAAUCCCCGGGCUCAACCUGGGAACUGCAUCUGAUACUGGCAAGCUUGAGUCUCGUAGAGGGGGGUAGAAUUCCAGGUGUAGCGGUGAAAUGCGUAGAGAUCUGGAGGAAUACCGGUGGCGAAGGCAGCCCCCUGGUCAAAGACUGACGCUCAGGUGCGAAAGCGUGGGGAGCAAACAGG